Molecule: ribosomal RNA, 253 nt
Filed under: uncultured bacterium
Lineage: Bacteria
Description: partial 16S ribosomal RNA
Rfam family: Bacterial small subunit ribosomal RNA
Source: RNAcentral
UACGAAGGGGGCUAGCGUUGCUCGGAAUGACUGGGCGUAAAGGGCGCGUAGGCGGAUCGCGCAGUCGGGCGUGAAAUCCUCCAGCUUAACUGGAGAACUGCCCCGGAUACUGGAGGUCUCGAGGGGGGUAGGGGCAUGCGGAACUGUGGGUGGAGCGGUGAAAUGCGUUGAUAUCCACAGGAACUCCGGUGGCGAAGGCGGCGUGCUGGACCCUUUCUGACGCUGAGGCGCGAAAGCCAGGGGAGCAAACGGG